CUGAUGGGGAAUUUCAGGAAAAAAUCUUGGGUUAGAAGCUGCCAAGUUGGAGCGGAAAGCAAUGAUACCUCAAGUUCCCCUUCUGAAGUUUUUGAAACUGUUCAAGAAACAGUAGGAUGAACAACUCUUGGUCAUUUUUUGUCUUUUUAUUCUGUGACUCUCAAGUUGAAAAGAAGAAAAAUAACCUGGAUUUACAAAUCAAUCAUGGGGCAAUAAUGAAUUGUAAACCUGUUGAAGAUGCGGAAAAGGUAAACGUGGAAUCAGAAUAUCCCAAGUUGGAAGUGACCCAUAAGGAUCAUCAAGUCCUACUCCUAAGGCCCCAGCCAUGGACCUGGCUGCCACCCACAAGAUCAAGCUGCCCAGAGCCCCAUUCAGCCUGGCCUUCAGCACCUCCAGAGAACAUCC
This is a long non-coding RNA of Gallus gallus (chicken), 405 nucleotides long. Lineage: Eukaryota; Metazoa; Chordata; Aves; Galliformes; Phasianidae. The record is from Ensembl.